RNAcentral lists this ribosomal RNA (260 nucleotides) under Ctenophora environmental sample. RNAcentral's name for it is "partial Bacterial small subunit ribosomal RNA". It matches the Rfam family "Bacterial small subunit ribosomal RNA", at positions 1073 to 1332 of the family's 1533-position model. Lineage: Eukaryota; Metazoa; Ctenophora. The record is from RNAcentral.
UGUUGGGUUAAGUCCCGCAACGAGCGCAACCCUUGUUCACUGUUGCCAGCACGUUAUGGUGGGGACUCGUAGGAGACUGCCGGGGUCAACUCGGAGGAAGGUGGGGAUGACGUCAAGUCAUCAUGCCCCUUAUGUCCAGGGCUUCACGCAUGCUACAAUGGCUGGUACAGAGAGUGGCGAGCCUGUGAGGGUGAGCGAAUCUCGGAAAGCCGGUCUCAGUUCGGAUUGGGGUCUGCAACUCGACCUCAUGAAGUCGGAGU